AGAGUUUGAUCCUGGCUCAGAUUGAACGCUGGCGGCAGGCCUAACACAUGCAAGUCGAGCGGAAACGAGUUAUCUGAACCUUCGGGGGACGAUAACGGCGUCGAGCGGCGGACGGGUGAGUAAUGCCUAGGAAAUUGCCCUGAUGUGGGGGAUAACCAUUGGAAACGAUGGCUAAUACCGCAUGAUGCCUACGGGCCAAAGAGGGGGACCUUCGGGCCUCUCGCGUCAGGAUAUGCCUAGGUGGGAUUAGCUAGUUGGUGAGGUAAGGGCUCACCAAGGCAACGAUCCCUAGCUGGUCUGAGAGGAUGAUCAGCCACACUGGAACUGAGACACGGUCCAGACUCCUACGGGAGGCAGCAGUGGGGAAUAUUGCACAAUGGGCGCAAGCCUGAUGCAGCCAUGCCGCGUGUGUGAAGAAGGCCUUCGGGUUGUAAAGCACUUUCAGUCGUGAGGAAGGUAGUGUAGUUAAUAGCUGCAUUAUUUGACGUUAGCGACAGAAGAAGCACCGGCUAACUCCGUGCCAGCAGCCGCGGUAAUACGGAGGGUGCGAGCGUUAAUCGGAAUUACUGGGCGUAAAGCGCAUGCAGGUGGUUUGUUAAGUCAGAUGUGAAAGCCCGGGGCUCAACCUCGGAAUAGCAUUUGAAACUGGCAGACUAGAGUACUGUAGAGGGGGGUAGAAUUUCAGGUGUAGCGGUGAAAUGCGUAGAGAUCUGAAGGAAUACCGGUGGCGAAGGCGGCCCCCUGGACAGAUACUGACACUCAGAUGCGAAAGCGUGGGGAGCAAACAGGAUUAGAUACCCUGGUAGUCCACGCCGUAAACGAUGUCUACUUGGAGGUUGUGGCCUUGAGCCGUGGCUUUCGGAGCUAACGCGUUAAGUAGACCGCCUGGGGAGUACGGUCGCAAGAUUAAAACUCAAAUGAAUUGACGGGGGCCCGCACAAGCGGUGGAGCAUGUGGUUUAAUUCGAUGCAACGCGAAGAACCUUACCUACUCUUGACAUCCAGAGAACUUUCCAGAGAUGGAUUGGUGCCUUCGGGAACUCUGAGACAGGUGCUGCAUGGCUGUCGUCAGCUCGUGUUGUGAAAUGUUGGGUUAAGUCCCGCAACGAGCGCAACCCUUAUCCUUGUUUGCCAGCGAGUAAUGUCGGGAACUCCAGGGAGACUGCCGGUGAUAAACCGGAGGAAGGUGGGGACGACGUCAAGUCAUCAUGGCCCUUACGAGUAGGGCUACACACGUGCUACAAUGGCGCAUACAGAGGGCGGCCAACUUGCGAAAGUGAGCGAAUCCCAAAAAGUGCGUCGUAGUCCGGAUUGGAGUCUGCAACUCGACUCCAUGAAGUCGGAAUCGCUAGUAAUCGUGGAUCAGAAUGCCACGGUGAAUACGUUCCCGGGCCUUGUACACACCGCCCGUCACACCAUGGGAGUGGGCUGCAAAAGAAGUAGGUAGUUUAACCUUCGGGGGGACGCUUACCACUUUGUGGUUCAUGACUGGGGUGAAGUCGUAACAAGGUAACC
RNAcentral lists this ribosomal RNA (1514 nucleotides) under Vibrio alginolyticus. Its description in RNAcentral is "bacterial SSU rRNA". It matches the Rfam family "Bacterial small subunit ribosomal RNA". RNAcentral also lists the same sequence under 1 other name. The record is from RNAcentral. Lineage: Bacteria; Pseudomonadati; Pseudomonadota; Gammaproteobacteria; Vibrionales; Vibrionaceae.